Molecule: non-coding RNA, 105 nt
Organism: Sclerotinia sclerotiorum 1980 UF-70
Lineage: Eukaryota; Fungi; Ascomycota; Leotiomycetes; Helotiales; Sclerotiniaceae
Source: the annotation of a RefSeq genome assembly
UAUUUCAUCACAGAGUGGUUAGCGUGUCGUUCUUAUAUUCUUCCCUACACAGGGAUAAAUAUGAAGUUAUGCGAAAGUCGUGGGUUCGACACCCACCUGGAGUAA